This is a long non-coding RNA of Clupea harengus (Atlantic herring), 805 nucleotides long. Lineage: Eukaryota; Metazoa; Chordata; Actinopteri; Clupeiformes; Clupeidae. The record is from Ensembl.
GCUCCAGCCCUCUUCUUGUCUUCUCUUGCAUCUCUUUUUUCUUUCUCUCCUCUUCUCUUAGUUUGGCCCUUUCUUUCUCUCUCAGCCUCUCCUCCUGUUCCUUUCUCUCCAUUUCUGCUUCCAUCCCUCUCUUCCUCCCUUCAUCCUCUUUCAGUUUUUCCAUCAUGGCUUUCCUCUUGCUCUCCUCUUCUUUCAGUCUCACAGUUUUCACUUCUCUCUGUCUCUCCACUUCUAGCUGUCUUGAUUUGUUCUCCUCUUCCAAUCUCCUUUCUUUUCCUCUAUCUAUUUCGGUAUUUCCAUUGUCCUUCAGGAAGAGCAAGUCUAGGUCUACACUGGCUUCCUCACUUUCAUUCCAGUCUUCUUCUGAUCCAUCCUCAGUGUCUUCAAAGGAUAGUCCCAUGGACUUCCACAGCUGGGAGGUCUCCUCCUCUAUUUUCCACAUCAUAUCUGUGUUCCUCUCGUCUCUCGUCUGUGGCUCUUUAACUUUCUCAUCCUCCUUCUUCUCCAUCUUCUCCUUCUCUUCUUUUCCUGAAUUCUCACUUCCCUCUUGUCUCUCCUUUCCUUUUUGCCUCUGGUCUUCAUGUUUCUCCCUCUCCCUUUCUUUGUUUAUUUCAAUUUCUGCUUCCUCUCUUUUUCGCUCCAUCUCCUCCAUCCUUCUUUGCUGCUCCUCUCUUUUUUGCUCUGUCUCCACUCUCACUUUCUCAAUCUCCUCUCUCCUUCUCACCAUCUCUGCUUUAGCUCUCUCCAUGUCUAUCCUUCUUUCCUGUUCCUCUCUUUUUUGCUCUGUCUCCAGUCUCACUUUCUC